This is a long non-coding RNA of Mesoplodon densirostris (Blainville's beaked whale), 1293 nucleotides long. RefSeq lists it as uncharacterized. The record is from RefSeq and is a predicted model, not a curated record. NCBI's taxonomy places the organism in Eukaryota, Metazoa, Chordata, Mammalia, Artiodactyla, Ziphiidae. The transcript is spliced from 6 exons.
CCUCUUUUCUUGCGCGUGCGUGCAGCUCCUAUGCUCACCCUAAGAAGUGGAGGGGCCGUGCAGAGUGUGGGCCCGAGGGUCCAUAGAUGACGUUAUCAGUCGAUAGGCAUUUAUUCUACUGUUCGAGGAAAACAAAUAAGGUGCAGCUUAGGCGAAAAGAAAAACAUCUUAUUGCCAGUGUCUAAACUCCAACGGAAUGUGUCUGAGACCGUGUGUAUGGAUACACGUGUACUUGAAACAGCCCCGCCUGUCUGUACAGCUCUUGCUGUAAGUCAACGCUUUACCGGAGCUAUCGCACUUAAGCCUCAGAACAACUUUAUGAGGUCUACUUCUAACAGGCUUGUUUAUAUGAAUUCUUAUUCUAUCCUGGAUUGGAAUCAGAAUAUUGGACAGUGUUGCAGGUUCUGACUGAUGCAGGCACACCGACAGUGAUGAAAGUGAGAACUGUGAUUCUACUUGAAAGGAACGGAGGAGAGCAGAACCUUCAGUGUCCUGUGAUGUACAACUCCCGUGGGCAACAUUUACAUUGUAAUGUAUGUAAAUGGCAUUUCCUGAAGCACAAUUAAGAGGCUACAGAAUGUAUCUUCCAGGAGGGCAGGCCUAUAUCUUUUUGCUUACUCCACCUCCCUUCUAGCAAGUGUUUGACACAUAAAAGAUGUUCAGUAAGUAUUGCAAAAUUUUUACCAGAUGAAGAAGCUUAAAAAUGUUGGCCUUGGGGCUUCACUGGUGGCGCAGUCGUUGAGAAUCUGCCUGCUAAUGCAGGGGACACGGGUUCGAGCCCUGGUCUGGGAGGAUUCCACAUGCUGCGGAGCAACUAGGCCCAUGAGCCGCAACUACUGAGCCUGCGCGUCUGGAGCCGGUGCUCCGCAACAACAGAGGCCACAAUAGUGAGAGGCCCGCGCACCAUGAUGAAGAGUGGCCCCUGCUUGCCACAACUAGAGAAAGCCCUCGCACAGAAACGAAGACCCAACACAGCAAAAAUAAAUAAAGAAAAAAAAAUGUUGGCCUUGUAGUCUAUUUCUAGGAAUUCAUCCUAAUUUAGGAAAUAAUCUGAAAUGCUAAAACAGAUUUAUGCAUAAAAAGUUCAUAGCAACAUUAUUUAUAAGAAAGUAAGGAAAAUAGCUUAAAUGACCACUUAAGGAAACACUACUAUACACAAGGAUCAUUAAUGCAGCCAUUGAAAAUGUUUUUAAAGAGUUUUAAAUAACUUGAGGAAACAUUUCUGAUAAAUCGUUAUGAAAAAAAGACAGUGUGCUCAAGCAAACAGUUUAAACUUCAUAAGCUUAAAAAACU